UGAAGUCACUUGGCUAUGGAGAAAGUGACAGAAUGAAGGUGUAUGCAGUUACAAACAAGCAUGGGCCUGGAGGAAGUUGAAGGAGAAGGUGGCUUCCAAAGUGCUUCUCAUUAUUUCCUUAUACAGUUCCUCUGCAGAGUCCUUCAUUGAAUCCAGUGGAGGCCCACAAUGACGCU
This 176-nucleotide long non-coding RNA is filed under the name Dasypus novemcinctus (nine-banded armadillo). Its description in RNAcentral is "lncRNA (ENSDNOG00000051162.1)". Lineage: Eukaryota; Metazoa; Chordata; Mammalia; Cingulata; Dasypodidae. The record is from RNAcentral.